UGAAGAACUACACAGAGGGAGACAACAAUGUCAUCACUAAAACAUGGACCCACAGCUGCAGGUGGAUUUCCAUACCGAGAUGAAGGAAGACUCAGACAUCGCCUUCCAUUUCCGAGUGUACUUUGGUCAUUGGGUGGUCAUGAACAGCCGCGUGAAUGGGGCUUGGCAGUAUGAGGUGACAUGCCACAAUAUGCCCUUUCAGGAUGGUAAACCAUUUAACCUGUGCAUCUCCGUGCUGGCCGAUGAGUACCAGCCGUUCAGAAUAAUAUCCUACGUUUUGCAACACCUGUUUUGUUCCUCCUCUCUGAAAACAUUUGAAUUUCCUUCUUUGCCACCACCAUUACAUCUCUGGGCAACUCCAAGGAGAAACUGGGCCAUCAGCAGUCAUAGUGAAUGGGAGUUAUAGUUCAUGGAACUGAAAUGUAUGCAUUCAAUGAACACUGUCCAGCACUAACCCCAUGGCAGGCCCUGUGCAAGACGCAAGGAUUGAAGUUCAUGAGAGACAGUCCCAGGCCAUAGGGAUCUUCCAGGUGAGAGGAGAGGCUGAGCAAACAGGUUCUGUGAUACACAGGGUGGUAAAACCUCCUUGGAGGAAUGAGAGGAAGCAUUGGAAAUAAAUGAGCAACUGUCUGAAGUAGGCACAAGGGUAAUCUGCAGAGAGAAGUGUGUCUACUGGGUUCUGAUGUAUAAUUAGGGGAUUUCUGGUUGGAUGCUGUAGGCACUAGGGCUGAGUGAGAUGAUGCUGAAAACUUGUUUGAUGGCAUAUUGUAUUUCUGAUGCAUUUUUUUCUUUUGUAGGUAAUGGUAAAUGGCCAAAAUGCUUACAGCUUUCCCCACCGACUCCCACCAUCUUAUGUGAAGAUGGUGCAAGUGUGGAGAGAUGUCUCCCUGACCUCAGUGUCUGUCUGUAAUUGAUGAAAUGAUCACAUUCCUCAUGGUUAAAGAAUCCCUGUUUCUGUGCGACCAUGGCAUUUCCAGAGCCUGCUAACAGAACGAUCACUCCUCACCCCUUCCUCUACACUUGGUCAUUAAAACUUCACCAAAUUUUCCAGAAUCUGGUUCUUACUUUCAUGGAGAAAAAGACAAAGUGGCACAAGGACACAAGUGACACAAGGCCACUGUGAUGUCUGAGAUUACAUAACGAAGACAUCCUUUUAUGUCAGCCCGUACUUUACGUCAGACACUCUGAACCAAAAUUCCUCCUUCAUUGUAGAUGACUCACUCCAGUGAAAUGUUGGGUAGCUGUUUACAACCUCACAGGCAUAAUUGAUUUUGGGGAGAAGCUUUGUAAUUUGAGGAAAGUCAUAUGAAAUGUCUUCAUUCUUGCACUCAUUCUAAGGAUGUUUCCUGUGUCUUAAUACUGUGUCUGGCGUUGUGCAGGAAGCACUGAAAAAGCCGAGGAAAUACUGACCAAGUUUGCACCUGAAAUUUUGUUUUGUUGUUGUUCUUUGAGACAAGUUCUUGCUCUGUCAUUCAGGCUGGACUGCAGUGGCACCAUUAAGGCUCACUGCAGCCUCGACACCCUGGGCUCAAAAAUUCCUCCUGCCUCAGCCCCCCAAGUAGGUGAGACCACAGGUGAGCACCACCAUGGCCAGCUAAUUUCUGCAUGUUUUUUUUGUAGAGAUGGGGUUUUGCCAUGUUGCCCAGGCUGGUGUCGAACUCCUGAAGUCAAGCAAUCCAGCAACCUCGGCCCACCAAAUUGCUGGCAUUACAAGUGUGAGCCCCUGUGCUUGGCCUAUACCUGAAAAUUUCAAUCCAAGCCAUAGUUAGAGAACCACAAGAGUUCAAUAAUUUCCCUCAAAAAAUCCCUUUGUCAUGUUCAAAAGAACUGCCAGAUUUUUCUAUUUUAUGUGGGCAGAAUCCUGGAUCUCCUCUUUGGAAAUAAAUGGUCAUAGUUUUAGAUCGGAAAAUAUGUCAUUUAUUGGUGGAAUGAACACAAUUCAUUCACAUGGACACAGUGAGCCGACCCUGCUUUGCUGCUGCUACCGUUGGCAUUGCAGAACCGGAAACCUCCCCAAC
Long non-coding RNA from Homo sapiens (human), 2018 nucleotides. Ensembl annotates it as galectin 14 pseudogene. Its record names the gene LGALS17A. The record is from Ensembl. NCBI's taxonomy places the organism in Eukaryota, Metazoa, Chordata, Mammalia, Primates, Hominidae.